RNAcentral lists this ribosomal RNA (253 nucleotides) under uncultured bacterium. RNAcentral's name for it is "partial 16S ribosomal RNA". It matches the Rfam family "Bacterial small subunit ribosomal RNA", at positions 524 to 776 of the family's 1533-position model. The record is from RNAcentral.
UACAGAGGGGGCAAGCGUUGUUCGGAAUUACUGGGCGUAAAGGGCGCGUAGGCGGCCGCCUAAGUCAGACGUGAAAUCCCUCGGCUCAACCGGGGAACUGCGUCUGAUACUGGGUGGCUUGAAUCCGGGAGAGAGAUGCGGAAUUCCAGGUGUAGCGGUGAAAUGCGUAGAUAUCUGGAGGAGCACCGGUGGCGAAGGCGGCAUCCUGGACCGGCAUUGACGCUGAGGCGCGAAAGCCAGGGGAGCAAACGGG